AUUGUAACUAUCUUUUCCUUCAAACAUUUGAGAAAGCUUAGAGAAUCCGCUCAGCUGCCUUUUCCCCCAAUGUUCUCUUUUCCUUCUUUUAACUGCAAAAAUGAAGUAUGUUCCACACUUUGUUUGGCAGAACAAACUCGAAAAAUCAGUGUUGUUACCGACAGACUUACAUAUUGCAUGAGAGAUUCUGGACGUAUUUAUGCUAACUAAAUUCAGGAAAAUCCCAAAAGCAUGAUAAUUUUGUAGCCUGGUAUAAGCCUCGUUUCAGCCCUCAUGGUGCAUCUCGAAGCCCUACAAUCAAGACCAAAACAUCACUCCAUACUAAAAUCUCUAAACACCAGUUCAUCUAACUAAUCGAGCAAGUAGCAGUCCUGCACUAAAACGCCUAAACACCAGUUUAGUUAUCUAUAUUAUACACAUAUCUGCUACUACAAAAUCUAAAAAAUGAGAAACUGGACCCUCAGCAACAUUGUCCAACGCACACUGCAUGUGGUCUCGGAACCUUGAACCAGGCAAGGAAAGAAGCAAAGCACUUUGUUUUUCUAGAUUCUGUAAAAAAAAUACUUAAGGAGGGUGUAGCUAAGCGGAACAACAAAGAUAAAUAUUUCAAAAAUAUACCCACAGAAUAACUUGGCAUAGGAUAAGAUCUUGCAUGCGAAGCUGGUUUUAGAGACAGAGAAGACUAUGCCUAAUACCCACAGAACUGCUCUAGUAAAUUGCCUAUUGUCUAUCACUACUAACAACACUAUCGGUCAAUUAAGUUACUUCAUCCCAUUAUAAUUGAACAAAAUAAGGAUAAAUAUGCACUUCAAGCCGUCUCAGUCUUUUCUCAAACAAAUAACAUCAGGAUCAUCAUCAGUAAGAAGUGCACACAAAAGUCAUGCCUCAUCAGUUGAUAAAUAAUGAAGCAAUAAUCAGAAUAUAUAAAAUGGGAAUAAAAAUAAAUGGCAGAAAUCAUCCAUCAACAGAGCUAAAAUGGGACGGGAGUGACAUGAGUAUGCUAGAUUGACACUAAAUAGAAAUCUAUAAGCAUGGACACUACUGUAUUAAAAGAAAAUAACAGAAAAAUAUAGAAAUGGUUAAUAUGCUAAUGUUUUCGCCAUAAGAACAAGAAAGGUGUAACAUGAGUAAGGAUCUACGUUAUAAAUGUAUACACUAUACAACUCUAAAAAUAAUUUUAGAAAACUUUCAGUGUCCAACUAUCGGUAUACUUGUUUUCCUCUACAGAGAAGAAAAUUAGAUAGCAAGCUUUCGGUGUCCACCUCAUGUUACCAAGUGAAGUAAACUUUUGCCGUCCAGGUUGGUUGUUAAGUUACUCAUGAAUCGAAUAUAGCUAUAUGAUAACAUUAUCACCUCUUAUUUCAAUUGGUGCAUGUACCCGAGGUCAGAUGCAUGCCUUUGAUUCCUCCCAUAGUUUUUUGUCCGGUCGAUUAGAAUAGUCGCAAGCAUAGCUAAGAACUAACCUAUAGUGGGAGCGAGGUUUGCUAGAAUGCCCUGGCCUAGUGGCAUGCUUGAAUGCUAUGCUGACUGGUGGUGUAAGUUUAGGAAUUAGUUUACUUCUUUAACAAAAUAGGAAAGGCGUGGUUAUAUCAGAGAAAUCAAUGCAAGAAAUUAAAUUGCUUUCCAGGGAACCACUAUUUAAAUUUCCAUACAGAAGUCUAAUCUUCAAUUUGCUUGUAUCUUUAGGACAAAAAUAACUGCAGCUACGAAUCAUCAUCUGUACAUAGGUCCCAAAAAAAGAUAUGAAUCUGGUAACAGAAAUACCUUGCAAUAUCUCUAAUGCAUACUUCAAAUAACAAAUUUCUUCGUCUGGUAACAGAAAUACCUUGCAAUAUCUCUAGUGCAUACUUCAAAUAACAAAUUUCUUCCUUAGUCAUGCAAGUAUCCACAAAGCACUUUCCUUGACGAUGAGCAACCUUACUAACAAUCCUACAAAUAUUGAUUAAAGGAGGAGAAACAAAUAGCAAAAACUUUUAGAUAUUGACAUAGGCAUAGCUUGCGAUGAUUACGAAAUGAGAUAAAAAUGGGAGUGGCCAACUAUUUGUUCUUACACUGAGCAGACCGCCUCAACACAUCAUCAAAGCUACCUUACACCAAGAUAACAUGGAGAUAAAUGUGAAUUGACAGAAACUGAAAUGUUCUGUGAGGAAUAGAAACAGCAGGCUGCUUAUGUAAGAAAAGACCGACAUGCCUAUUUAAAAAUAGACCAGAUAGUAGACAGAUCGUCCAUAUGCACUCAC
This 2240-nucleotide long non-coding RNA is filed under the name Triticum aestivum (bread wheat). Its description in RNAcentral is "long non-coding RNA (TAES_LNC003412)". The record is from RNAcentral. Lineage: Eukaryota; Viridiplantae; Streptophyta; Magnoliopsida; Poales; Poaceae.